RNA transcript from Triticum aestivum (bread wheat), 1224 nucleotides. RefSeq lists it as uncharacterized. The record is from RefSeq and is a predicted model, not a curated record. NCBI's taxonomy places the organism in Eukaryota, Viridiplantae, Streptophyta, Magnoliopsida, Poales, Poaceae. The transcript is spliced from 4 exons.
GUGAUGGACUCGGAUAUGUUUACCCGUCUUGUAAACCAGUCCGACAUGUGUGCACACACGUUCUCCCAAACCAGCCGCUUUGCUCGUCGGUGCUGGUGCUCCACGUGUACACGUCACCAGUUUUCUCUUCGCUCGCAGGUCGUGUCCAUCUCCCCCGGUUUCUCCCCUCCCCGCUGACACAAGACCACACACCCGUAAAAAAACACACACACCACCACGGCUAUGCUUCUUCCCCUGACGGACACAAGGUGGGUCCGAAGAGGAGAUUUCUCGAUCCCGUACGGAGUGCGCAGGCGACGGAGGGAGAAGGCAAGGACGGUCGCUUUAGGGCCGUCAUCGUGCGGCGGUGCUUGGGCUGUUGGCAGCGGCGGCAUAGGAGACGGGGGAGGCGCUAAUGUCCGUCAAGGCAUGCUUCGGCAACAUCGCCAACGCGCUCGUUGACUGGGACGGUGGCAGCGACCAUUGCCCCUGGCGGGGGUCGUCGCCUGCGACACAAACUCCUUCGCCUGGAGGAAGCUCAAAGGAAGCAAGACUUCAACAAAAAUCUCUGAAUGCAUUCCAAGCUUCUGUACGGCGUACGUCGUUUCAAAGGGAAAACUGUCAUUCGUGCACUCUUACACCUGAUGCCUGUGAAACACCCAAGACCAUAUCUUCUUCAACCAUUUCUUCUCCUAGCUCUGGAAGCCUUUCUAGUGCGCCCUCAGCAGAGUGGGCUGACAGAAAUGGAACAUCAACUGUAUUAUUCCGCAAGUCAUCUCUGCCAUCGCAAUGUGAUCACACACUCGUAAAUAUAAAUAGGUCAAUCCUGAAGCUAGCCCUUUAGGCAGUGCUGGCAGCGAGAUCUCUUACCAUGAUGAUACAACCCUGAAGACAAAUUCACAAUCAAUCACAUCAGUAGCGCAGCUCAGUAGCAGCAGCAGUGGGGAUUCAGUUUACAGGAGCUUCCGGGGAGAUAGCUUCCGAGAUAUCUCUGAUCUGCAGGCAGCAGUUUCAGAAACUGCAAGAGACCUUAGGCAUUCUCAUGCCCAGGAUGAUCUGAAGCUUCAAAUUGAGAGUAUGAAGGUCAAACUGCGACAUGUAUUCUACAGUUGUGGCUAUGGACAACUUUUGGCCAGUCCGGUGUAUUCUACAAUUGAGGCAAUGGAGCACUUUUGACCAGUCUAGUGUAUUCUACAGUUGUGGCACUGGAGUAGUCAUUAUCCACAAAACCAGGUAUGUUGUUGU